ACGAAGGGGGCUAGCGUUGCUCGGAAUCACUGGGCGUAAAGGGUGCGUAGGCGGCUUUUUAAGUCAGGGGUGAAAUCCCGGGGCUCAACCCCGGAACUGCCUUUGAAACUGGAGAGCUAGAAUCUUGGAGAGGCGAGUGGAAUUCCGAGUGUAGAGGUGAAAUUCGUAGAUAUUCGGAAGAACACCAGUGGCGAAGGCGACUCGCUGGACAAGUAUUGACGCUGAGGUGCGAAAGCGUGGGGAGCAAACAGGA
RNAcentral lists this ribosomal RNA (253 nucleotides) under uncultured prokaryote. RNAcentral's name for it is "partial 16S ribosomal RNA". It matches the Rfam family "Bacterial small subunit ribosomal RNA", at positions 525 to 777 of the family's 1533-position model. The record is from RNAcentral.